GACGAACCGUCCUAACGUUAUUCGGAAUCACUGGGCUUAAAGGGCGCGUAGGCGGAUGGGCAAGUCCGGAGUGAAAUCUUUCGGCUUAACCGGAAAAGUGCUUUGGAUACUGCUCGUCUUGAGGGAGGUAGGGGCAUGUGGAACUUCUGGUGGAGCGGUGAAAUGUGUUGAUAUCGGAAGGAACACCGGUGGCGAAAGCGGCGCACUGGGGCUUAACUGACGCUGAGGCACGAAAGCCAGGGUAGCGAACGGG
Molecule: ribosomal RNA, 253 nt
Filed under: uncultured bacterium
Lineage: Bacteria
Description: partial 16S ribosomal RNA
Rfam family: Bacterial small subunit ribosomal RNA
Source: RNAcentral